AGUGAACGCUGGCGGUAGGCCUAACACAUGCAAGUCGAACGGCAGCACAGUAAGAGCUUGCUCUUACGGGUGGCGAGUGGCGGACGGGUGAGGAAUACAUCGGAAUCUACUUUUUCGUGGGGGAUAACGUAGGGAAACUUACGCUAAUACCGCAUACGACCUACGGGUGAAAGCAGGGGAUCUUCGGACCUUGCGCGAGUGAAUGAGCCGAUGUCGGAUUAGCUAGUUGGCGGGGUAAAGGCCCACCAAGGCGACGAUCCGUAGCUGGUCUGAGAGGAUGAUCAGCCACACUGGAACUGAGACACGGUCCAGACUCCUACGGGAGGCAGCAGUGGGGAAUAUUGGACAAUGGGCGCAAGCCUGAUCCAGCCAUACCGCGUGGGUGAAGAAGGCCUUCGGGUUGUAAAGCCCUUUUGUUGGGAAAGAAAAGCAGCAGGUUAAUACCCCGCUGUUCUGACGGUACCCAAAGAAUAAGCACUGGCUAACUUCGUG
This 492-nucleotide ribosomal RNA is filed under the name uncultured bacterium. RNAcentral's name for it is "partial 16S ribosomal RNA". It matches the Rfam family "Bacterial small subunit ribosomal RNA", at positions 29 to 507 of the family's 1533-position model. The record is from RNAcentral.